UUGUGAAGUUUCCUUUCUGUUUUGUUUUGAAUCGCACAUAAGGACGAGCUGCUGUUUCUGCUGACCCUCAAACGGCAAUUUUCCCCUGGAUAAGAAAAGUUAAAGGCAACAACAUUCAAUUUCAGUUCUAGGACUGAUGGGAACCGGCAGCACACAGGCUCGGUUGGCAGAACCUGCCCUGGUAGCAAAUCCCUUAAAUCACAAGCCUAUCUGAGAAGGGGAUAAGCUGGACGGCUCUCGUUCUUUGUGUUUUAUUUCUAAAGAUAGACCAGCUGAAAAAUCCCUCGCCUUUCAACCACCGAUUAGGAAAAGAAGGUGGGGAGGAACGAUCUGUACUUCUCACACCACAAAGGUCAUUCUUUUCUUCUACUUCUUUGAGUCCUUCCAAGAUGAAACAUUUUUUUAAAAAAAAAUUUCUUUUUAAGAAAAUCCUCAAACAAAAGGCAAAAAUCAAAAUCCCAAGAGUCAAGCUGCUGUCCUUGUCCCAGCAGAGAGCAAGUCCUCAUUACAGUCAUGACUCGGCCACUGUGGUCCUGGGUGGGAGCCAGUCUCCCCUAUGGGCCACGCCUGCCUCUUCCCUACUUCCACUCCCCCAGUCUGCUUUGCCCUCACUGUCUGUAUUCUGGAUCGGUUUUGUUCGAGAUUAUGGCAUUCAGUUCCCAUAGAAAAAAAAAGUAAUCUUCACCAGCCACUCUGGCUGGAAUGAAACGUCAAAUGUGAUUCGGGUGCAAUCAGUCAUGCCUCCGAGCAGCACUUCUGGUGGUUUAUUUUGACCUUGUGCUUGAUGCCAUCGUAGAGCUCAAAGUUGUAGUUCUCCAGGGUGGUACAGCUUCGGGACGAGAGCCCCGUGUAGGAACAUGUGCAGUAGAGAAGUAGACCAGCACAGAUGGCCCCGAGCAGGACCCCCAGGGAGCUCAUGGCAAUGAUGGUCACCAGGAUGGGGUCCAGAGUGUACAGCCAGCUCUUCUCCCUGUCCUCUUUGGGAAGGGCUGGACCAGUCGUUGGGGAGGAGGAAUU
This 1017-nucleotide long non-coding RNA is filed under the name Sarcophilus harrisii (Tasmanian devil). RNAcentral describes it as "lncRNA (ENSSHAG00000022794.1)". Lineage: Eukaryota; Metazoa; Chordata; Mammalia; Dasyuromorphia; Dasyuridae. The record is from RNAcentral.